ACAGCACAGCUUUACUGGUACUCGG
Molecule: non-coding RNA, 25 nt
Filed under: Cricetulus griseus (Chinese hamster)
Lineage: Eukaryota; Metazoa; Chordata; Mammalia; Rodentia; Cricetidae
Source: RNAcentral